This 467-nucleotide ribosomal RNA is filed under the name uncultured bacterium. Its description in RNAcentral is "partial 16S ribosomal RNA". It matches the Rfam family "Bacterial small subunit ribosomal RNA", at positions 28 to 507 of the family's 1533-position model. The record is from RNAcentral.
GACGAACGCUGGCGGCGUGCUUAACACAUGCAAGUCGAACGGAAAGGCCUCUUUCGGGGGGUACUCGAGUGGCGAACGGGUGAGUAACACGUGAGUAACCUGCCCUUUACUUUGGGAUAACUUCAGGAAACUGGGGCUAAUACCGGAUAGGAGCUCCUGCUGCAUGGUGGGGGUUGGAAAGUUUCGGCGGUUGGGGAUGGACUCGCGGCGUAUCAGCUUGUUGGUGGGGUAGUGGCUUACCAAGGCUUUGACGGGUAGCCGGCCUGAGAGGGUGACCGGCCACAUUGGGACUGAGAUACGGCCCAGACUCCUACGGGAGGCAGCAGUGGGGAAUAUUGCACAAUGGGUGGGAGCCUGAUGCAGCAACGCCGGGUGCGGGAUGACGGCCUUCGGGUUGUAAACCGCUUUCGCUCAUGACGAAGCUUUGUGUGACGGUAGUGGGUAAAGAAGCACCGGCUAACUACGUG